UCUCUACCCGGGACAGUCCAGUUCUUCAUACUGGGUUUGUCAGUAGGAGAGGAGGCAGAUCAGAGCAGUGAUGCUGCCCAUUCCACCCUCAGCCAUAUUCUGGCUUUGUAGUGGAAGAGAUCCCUGCAACAAAC
Molecule: small nucleolar RNA, 134 nt
Filed under: Oryzias melastigma (Indian medaka)
Lineage: Eukaryota; Metazoa; Chordata; Actinopteri; Beloniformes; Adrianichthyidae
Source: RNAcentral